GUAGGGGUUUAUUAGCAGGUAAAAACUAGUUGAUUCCAAAUAUCUGACAAACAGUUAAAAAAUAAAAUUAGCAGACAUCCUUUAGUUCAAAUUCUGUGUAUCCAAAUUCAAUUUAACUAAAAAUAAAUCAGCAGAUAUCAGAUUGUUAAAUUUAAAGUUCUCAGACUGGUAAAUUCUGUCCGGUUUCACCAAUUAUAAGCACAUAUUCCAAAAAAAUGUUUACAGUUCUUUUGGUUUUAUGAAUGAAAUCAACUGUUAGCUAUUUAGCCUAUUAUAGUUUCAGUAUUUAUGAUAUAUGUCCAAAAGUCUCCAGAAAUUGUCAAAGUUGUCUUUCUUUGUUGAAUCAAGGAAUUAUGGUAACCAGCUUGGC
RNAcentral lists this long non-coding RNA (370 nucleotides) under Mytilus galloprovincialis (Mediterranean mussel). Lineage: Eukaryota; Metazoa; Mollusca; Bivalvia; Mytilida; Mytilidae. The record is from RNAcentral.